This 230-nucleotide long non-coding RNA is filed under the name Oryza brachyantha (malo sina). RNAcentral describes it as "long non-coding RNA (OBRA_LNC000754)". The record is from RNAcentral. Lineage: Eukaryota; Viridiplantae; Streptophyta; Magnoliopsida; Poales; Poaceae.
CUUUGGAUCGACUCCCCUCGGCAUAAAUGCCCCGCCUUUAAUGGCUUCCCCGAUCUGAUGCUCCCGGCCUCCGCUUCUCGCCUCGCUCGCCGCCGCCGCCGCCGCCGCUCCCGCUGCUGCGGAUUCGCGCGGAGGAAAGUUUCGGGGAACGGAGCGGGUGGGGGCUCGGUGGGGAAAGGUCGCGGCGGCGUGUUGGUUGAAACUGCAAAAGUGCAAAACGGAACCGCCUC